RNAcentral lists this long non-coding RNA (276 nucleotides) under Panax ginseng (ginseng). RNAcentral describes it as "long non-coding RNA (PGIN_LNC006160)". Lineage: Eukaryota; Viridiplantae; Streptophyta; Magnoliopsida; Apiales; Araliaceae. The record is from RNAcentral.
ACUCGAGAAAGAGAGAGAAGAGGCUGCCUUGUAAAUUAGGGCUUGAGCGAUGUUACCGACAUGCCAAGCAGGGCUUGAGCGAUGUUACGGCAGAUCGGCCAGUGCAGACAUCGCUCUGAAUCUUCUCCACCUCUUCCAAGUUCAGUAAUCAGAACACAACCAAAACUGCAUAACGGGAGAAGAAAACUGAAAGAAAAGGAACGAAGAGAGGAAACUGAAGAGAGAACGAACGAAACUCCGUUUUUUUAAUUUUAAGUGUUCAAUUAGACCUCCGUG